RNAcentral lists this ribosomal RNA (462 nucleotides) under uncultured bacterium. Its description in RNAcentral is "bacterial SSU rRNA". It matches the Rfam family "Bacterial small subunit ribosomal RNA", at positions 32 to 507 of the family's 1533-position model. The record is from RNAcentral.
AACGCUGGCGGCGUGCUUAACACAUGCAAGUCGAACGAUGAAGCUGGAGCUUGCUCCAGUGGAUUAGCGGCGAACGGGUGAGGAACACGUGAAGAAUCUGCCUUCAACUCUGGGAUAACACCGGGAAACCGGUGCUAAUACCGGAUAUGAGCCUUGAUCGCAUGAUCGGGGCUGGAAAGUUUUCGGUUGAAGAUGACUUCGCGGCCUAUCAGCUUGUUGGUGAGGUAAUGGCUCACCAAGGCGACGACGGGUAGCCGGCCUGAGAGGGCGACCGGCCACACUGGGACUGAGACACGGCCCAGACUCCUACGGGAGGCAGCAGUGGGGAAUAUUGGGCAAUGGACGAAAGUCUGACCCAGCGACGCCGCGUGAGGGAUGAAGGCCUUCGGGUUGUAAACCUCUUUCAGCAGGGAAGAAGCGAAAGUGACGGUACCUGCAGAAGAAGCACCGGCUAACUAUGUG